Molecule: long non-coding RNA, 305 nt
Organism: Anarrhichthys ocellatus (wolf-eel)
Lineage: Eukaryota; Metazoa; Chordata; Actinopteri; Perciformes; Anarhichadidae
Exons: 2
Source: RefSeq, a predicted model, not a curated record
UGUGUAUGAGAGCGAUGUAAUGUCCAUGUCUCCAUGCUGCUCUGACCCCCCUCCUCCUUUCAGGGUGGAGCCUGCUGGAGUCCGAUGGUUCAGACCAGGUCUGAGGAAGUAUUCCUGUGAACUCACACUCGACACAAACACAGUGAACAGAAACCUCAAACUGUCUGACAACAACAGGAAGGUGACACAUGUGGAGGAGGUUCAGUCAUAUCCUGAUCAUCCAGACAGAUUUGACCACUGGUCUCAGCUGCUGUGUAGAACUGGUCUGACUGAUCGCUGUUACUGGGAGGUCGAGUGGAGAGGAG